Molecule: ribosomal RNA, 363 nt
Filed under: uncultured fungus
Lineage: Eukaryota; Fungi
Description: eukaryotic LSU rRNA
Rfam family: Eukaryotic large subunit ribosomal RNA
Source: RNAcentral
AUAUCAAUAAGCGGAGGAAAAGAAACUAACAAGGAUUCCCCUAGUAACGGCGAGUGAAGAGGGAAGAGCUCAAAUUUUGAAUCUGGCACCUUUGGUGUCUGAGUUGUAAUCUAGAGAAGUGCUUUCUGUGGCGGACCGUGCACAAGUCUCCUGGAAUGGAGCGUCAUAGAGGGUGAGAAUCCCGUAUAUGGCACGGACUCCCGUUGCUCUGUGAAACACUCUCAACGAGUCGAGUUGUUUGGGAAUGCAGCUCCAAACGGGUGGUAAAUGCCAUCUAAAGCUAAAUAUUGGCGAGAGACCGAUAGCGAACAAGUACCGUGAGGGAAAGAUGAAAAGCACUUUGGAAAGAGAGUGAAACAGUAC